CGCUGGCGGCAGGCCUAACACAUGCAAGUCGAGCGGGUAACAUUUCUAGCUUGCUAGAAGAUGACGAGCGGCGACGGGUGAGUAACGCGUAGAAAUCUACCUAGUAGUGGGGGAUAGCCCAGAGAAAUUUGGAUUAAUACCGCAUACGCCUACGGGGGAAAGCGGGGGAUCUUCGGACCUCGUGCUAUUAGAUGAGUCUGCGUCGGAUUAGCUUGUUGGUGAGGUAAUGGCUCACCAAGGCGACGAUCCGUAGCUGGUCUGAGAGGAUGACCAGCCACACUGGAACUGAGACACGGUCCAGACUCCUACGGGAGGCAGCAGUGGGGAAUAUUGCACAAUGGGCGCAAGCCUGAUGCAGCCAUACCGCGUGUGUGAAGAAGGCCUUAGGGUUGUAAAGCACUUUCAGCAGUGAGGAAAGGGGUGUCGUUAAUAGCGCCAUCCUGUGACGUUAACUGCAGAAGAAGGACCGGCUAACUCCGUG
Molecule: ribosomal RNA, 481 nt
Filed under: uncultured bacterium
Lineage: Bacteria
Description: bacterial SSU rRNA
Rfam family: Bacterial small subunit ribosomal RNA
Source: RNAcentral